CUAACAUUGCCACACACAUACACUGCCCACACACCCUACACAUUCACACACUACACCCCCACACACACACACUGAACCUUUCACACACAUUGCACCACUGCUCCUAUUCCCUACUACAGCCUCAUAUCCCAGCAGACCCCAGGUAAGUUGUCAAACUGUUCUUAAACGGUUUGACUACAUACUCUGGAGCAGUAGUGGUUAUUGUGCAUGGAUUAUUUCUUUAAAUAAUCUACAAGUGCC
Molecule: non-coding RNA, 240 nt
Organism: Pelobates cultripes (western spadefoot toad)
Lineage: Eukaryota; Metazoa; Chordata; Amphibia; Anura; Pelobatidae
Source: the annotation of a GenBank genome assembly